Molecule: non-coding RNA, 24 nt
Filed under: Rattus norvegicus (Norway rat)
Lineage: Eukaryota; Metazoa; Chordata; Mammalia; Rodentia; Muridae
Source: RNAcentral
CAGCAGGCCACCGCCCUGUGCCCA